CAAUAGCGUAUAUUAAAGUUGUUGCAGUUAAAAAGCUCGUAGUUGGAUUUCUGGUGAGAUGGAUUAUGUCUAGGUCGAAAGAUCUUGUUCAUGGUUCGUUUCGCCCUUCUUGUCAGGAACCCGCUGAGAUUCGCGUCUUGUCGGUGGAAUGGCAUCGUUUACUGUGAAAAAAUUAGAGUGUUCAAAGCAGGCAUCGCCGUUGAAUACAUUAGCAUGGAAUAAUAAGAUAAGACUUUGGUGGUCUAUUUUGUUGGUUUGCACGCCAAAGUAAUGAUUAAUAGGGAUAGUUGGGGGUAUUCGUAUUCUACUGCUAGAGGUGAAAUUCUUAAAUUUAUGGAAGACGAACUACUGCGAAAGCAUUUACCAAGGAUGUUUUCAUUAA
Molecule: ribosomal RNA, 382 nt
Filed under: uncultured eukaryote
Lineage: Eukaryota
Description: partial 18S ribosomal RNA
Rfam family: Eukaryotic small subunit ribosomal RNA
Source: RNAcentral